RNAcentral lists this long non-coding RNA (12551 nucleotides) under Homo sapiens (human). RNAcentral describes it as "non-protein coding lnc-SSTR1-1:3". Lineage: Eukaryota; Metazoa; Chordata; Mammalia; Primates; Hominidae. The record is from RNAcentral.
ACUGACACUUUUCGGACUCAGCCUGCCUGCACCCAGGUGAUUAAAAGCUUUAUUGCUCACACAAAGCCUGUUUGGUGGUCUCUUCACAUGGAUGCGCAUGAAAUUUGGUGCGGUGACUCGGAUCGGGGGACCUCCCUUGGGAGAUCAAUCCCCUGUCCUCCUGUUCUUUGCUCCGUGAGAAAGAGCCACCUACGACCUCAGGUCCUCAGACCAACCAGGCCAAGAAACAUCUCACCAAUUUCAAAUCCGGUAAGCGGCCUCUUUUUACUCUCUUCUCCAACCUCCCUCACUAUCCCUCAACCUCUUUCUCCUUUCAAUCUUGGCGCCACACUUCAAUCUCUCCCUUCUCUUAAUUUCAAUUCCUUUCAUCUUCUGGUAGAGACAAAGGAGACAUGUUUUAUCCGUGGACCCAAAACUCCCACGCCCGUCAUGGACUGGGAAGGCAGCCUUCCCUUGGUGUUUAAUCCUUGCAGGGAUGCCUUUCUGAUUAUUCACCCAUGUUUCAAAGGUGUCAGACCACGCAGGGACGCCUGCCUUUGUCCUUCACCCUUAGCGGCAAGUCCCACUUUUCUGGGGAAGGCGCAAGUACCCCAACCCCUUCUCUCCCUGUCUCUACCCCUUCUCUGCUUUUCUGGGGAAGGGGCAAGUACCCCUCAACCCCUUCUCUUUCACCCUGAGUGGCAAGUCCCGCUUUUCUACGGGGCAAGAACCCCCAAUCCCUUAUUUCCACGCCCCAACCUCUUAUCUCUGUGCCCCAAUCCCUUAUUUCCGUGUCCCAACCUCUUAUCUCUGCACCCCAAUCCCUUAUUUCCACGCCCCAACCUUGUAUCUCUGUGCCCCAAUCCCUUAUUUCCACGCCCCAACCUCUUAUAUCUCUGCACCCCAAUCCCUUAUUUCCAUGCCCUGACCUCUUAUUUCUGCGCCCCAUCCCUUAUUUCUGCACCCUGACCUCUUAUCUCUGCGCCCCAACCCCUUUCCCACUUUUCUGGAAGGUAAGAACCCCUGAACCCCUUCCCUCCAUUUCUCUACUCUUUCUUUUCUCUAGGCUUGCUUCCUUCACUAUGGGCAAUCUUCCACCCUCCAUUCCUCCUUCUACUCCCUUGGCCUGUGUUCUCAAAAACUUAAAACCUCUUCAAUUCACACCUGACCUAAAACCUAAAUGCCUUAUUUUCUUCUGCAAUGCCGCUUGACCCCAAUACAAACUCGACAGUAGUUCCAAAUAGCCAGAAAAUGGCACUUUGAAUUUUUCCAUCCUGCAAGAUCUAAAUAAUUCUUGUCGUAAAAUAGGCAAACAGUCUUAGGUGCCUGACGUCCAGGCAUUCUUUUACAUAUCAGUCCCUUCCUAGUCUCUGUGCCCAGUGCAACUCGUCCCAAAUCUUCCUUCUUUCCCUCCCACCUGUCCCCUCAGUACCAACGCCAAGCGUUGCUGAGUCUUUCUAAUCUUCCUUUUCUAUAGACCCAUAUGACCUCUCCCUUCCUCCCCAGGCUGCUCCUCGCCAGGCCGAGCUAGUUCCCAAUUCUUCCUCAGCCUCUCCUCCUCCACCCUAUAAUCUUUUUAUCACCUCCCCUCCUCACACCUGGUCCGGCUUACAGUUUCGUUCCGUGACUAGCCCUCCCCCUCCUGCCCAGCAACUUACUCUUAAAAAUGUGGCUGGAGCCAAAGGCAUAGUCAAGGUUAAUGCUCCUUUUUCUUUAUCCCAAAUCGGAUAGCGUUUAGGCUCUUUUUCAUCAAAUAUAAAAAUCCAGCCCAGUUCAUGACUUGUUUGGCAGCAACCCUGAGACGCUUUACAGCCCUAGACCCUAAAAGGUCAAAAGGCCGUCUUAUUCUCAAAAUACAUUUUAUUACCCAAUCUGCUCCCGAUAUUAAAUAAAACUCCAAAAAUUAAAUUCCGGCCCUCAAACCCUACAACAGGAUUUAAUUAACCUCGCCUUCAAGGUGUACAAUAAUAGAAAAAAGUUGCAAUUCCUUGCCUUCACUGUGAGACAAACCCCAGCCAUGUCUCCAGCACACAAGAACUUCCAAACGCCUGAACCGCAGCGGCCAGGCGUUCCUCCAGAACCUCCUCCCCCAGGAGCUUGCUACACUUGCCGGAAAUCUGGCCACUGGGCCAAGGAAUGCCCGCAGCCCGGGAUUCCUCCUAAGCCACGUCCUAUCUGUGUGGGACCCCACUGAAAAUCAGACUGUUCAACUCACCUGGCAGCCACUCCCAGAGCCCCUGGAACUCUGGCCCAAGGCUCUCUGACUGACUCCUUCCCAGAUCUUCUCGGCUUAGCGGCUGAAGACUGACACUGCUCAAUCACCUUGGAAGCCCCCUAGACCAUCACGGACGCCGAGCUUCAGGUAACUCUCACAGUGGAAAGUAAGCCCAUCCCCUUCUUAAUCAAUACAGAGGCUCCCCACUCCACAUUACCUUCUUUUCAAGGGCCUGUUUCCCUUGCCUCCAUAACUGUUGUAGGUAUUGACGACCAGGCUUCUAAACCUCUUAAAACUCCCCAACUCUGGUGCCAACUUAGACAAUACUCUUUUAAGCACUCCUUUUUAGUUAUCCCCACCUGCCCAGUUCCCUUAUUAGGCUGAGACACUUUAACUAAAUUAUCUGCUUCCCUGAUUAUUCCUGGACUACAGCUAUAUCUCAUUGCCGCCCUUCUUCCCAAUCCAAAGCCUCCUUUGCGUCCUCCUCUUGUAUCCCCCCACCUUAACCCACAAGUAUAAGAUACCUCUACUCCCUCCUUGGCGACCCAUCAUGCACCCCUUACCAUCUCAUUAAAACCUAAUCACCCUUACCCCACUCAAUGCCAAUAUCCCAUCCCACAGCACACUUUAAAAAGAUUAAAGCCUGUUAUCACUCACCUGCUACAGCAUGGCCUUUUAAAGCCUAUAAACUCUCCUUACAAUUCCCCCAUUUUACCUGUCCUAAAACCAGACAAGCCUUACAAGUUAGUUCAGGAUCUGCGCCUUAUCAACCAAAUUGUUUUGCCUAUCCACCCCGUGGUGCCAAACCCAUAUACUCUCCUAUCCUCAAUACCUGCCUCUACAACCCAUUAUUCUGUUCUAGAUCUCAAACAUGCUUUCUUUACUAUUCCUUUGCACCCUUAAUCCCAGCCUCUCUUCACUUUCACUUGGCCUGACCCUGACACCCAUCAAGCUCAGCAAAUUACCUAGGCUGUACUGCCGCAAAGCUUCACAGACAGCCCCCAUUACUUCAAUCAAGCCCAAAUUUCUUCCUCAUCUGUUACCUAUCUCGGCAUAAUUCUCAUAAAAAAACACGUGCUCUCCCUGCCAAUCGUGUCCGACUGAUCUCUCAAACCCCAACACCUUCUACAAAACAACUCCUUUCCUUCCUAGGCAUGGUUAGUGCGGUCAGAAUUCUUACAGAAGAGCCAGGACCGCACCCUGUAGCCUUUCUGUCCAAACAACUUGACCUUACUGUUUUAGCCUAGCCCUCAUGUCUGCGUGCAGCAGCUGCCGCUGCUUUAAUACUUUUAGAGGCCCUCAAAAUCACAAAGUAUGCUCAACUCACUCUCUACAGUUCUCAUAACUUCCAAAAUCUAUCUUCUUCCUCAUACCUGACGCAUAUACUUUCUGCUUCCCGGCUCCUUCAGCUAUACUCACUCUUUAUUGAGUCUCCCACAAUUACCGUUGUUCCUGGCCUGGACUUCAAUCCGGCCUCCCACAUUAUUCCUGAUACCACACCUGACCCCCAUGACUGUAUCUCUCUGAUCCACCUGACAUUCACACCAUUUCCCCAAAUUUCCUUCUUUCCUGUUCCUCACCCUGAUCACGCUGGAUUUAUUGAUGGCCUAAUCGCCACAAACCAGCAAAGGCAGGUUAUGCUAUAGUACAAGCCACUAGCCCGCCUCUUAGAACCUCUCAUUUCCUUUCCAUCGUGGAAUUCUAUCCUCAAGGAAAUAACUUCUCAGUGUUCCAUCUGCUAUUCUACUCCUCAGGGAUUAUUCAGGCCCCCUCCCUUCCCUACACAUCAAGCUUGAGGAUUUGCCCCACCCAGGACUGGCAAAUUAGCUUUACUCAACAUGCCCUGAGUCAGAUAACUAAAAUACCUCUUAGUCUAGGUAGAUACUUUCACUGGAUAGGUAGAGGCCUUUCCUACAGGGUCUGAGAAGGCCACCGCAGUCAUUUCUUCCCUUCUGUCAGACAUAAUUCCUCAGUUUAGCCUUCCCACCUCAAUACAGUCUGAUAACAGACGAGCCUUUAUUAGUCAAAUGAGCCAAGCAGUUUUUCAGGCUCUUGGUAUUCAGUGAAACCUUUAUAUCCCUUACGGUCCUCCGUCUUCAAGAAAAGUAGAAUGGACUAAAGGUCUUUUAAAAACACACCUCACCAAGCUCAGCCACCAACUUAAAAAGGACUGGACAAUACUUUUACCACUUUCCCUUCUCAGAAUCCAGGCCUGUCCUCGGAAUGCUACAGGGUACAGCCCAUUUAAGCUCCUGUAUAGACACUCCUUUUUAUUAGGCCCCAGUCUCAUUCCAGACACCAGACCAACUUAGACUGUGCCCCCAAAAAACUUGUCAUCCCUGCUAUCUUCUGUCUAGUCAUACUCCUAUUCACCGUUCUCAACUACUCAUACAUGCCCUGCUCUUGUUUACACUGCCGGUUUACACUGUUUUUCCAAGCCAUCACAGCUGAUAUCUCCUGGUGUUAUCCCCAAACUGCCACUCUUAACUCUUGAAAUAAAUAAAUAAUCUUUGCUGGCAGGACUAUGCCGAAUCUCCUUAGGCACUCUCUAAUCAGAUAUCCUGAGUCGUCCCAAUUCUUAGACCUUUUAUACCUGUUUUUCUCCUUCUGUUAUUCCAUUUAGUUUCCCAAUUCAUCCAAAACCGUAUCCAGGCCAUCACCAAUCAUUCUAUAUGACAAAUGUUUCUUAUAACAUCCCCACAAUAUCACCCCUUACCACAAUACCUCCCUUCACCUUAAUCUCUCCCACUCUAGGUUCCCACGCCGCCCCUAAUCCCGCUUGAAGCAGCCCUGAGAAACAUCGCCCAUUCUCUCUCCAUACCACCCCCCCAAAAAUUUUUGCCGCCCCAACACUUCAAUGCUAUUUUGUUUUAUUUUUCUUAUUAAUAUAAGAAGGCAGGAAUGUCAGGCCUCUGAGCCCAAGCCAAGCCAUCGCAUCCCCUGUGACUUGCACGUAUACGUCCAGAUGGCCUGAAGUAAUUGAAGAAUCACAAAAGAAGUGAAUAUGCCCUGCCCCACCUUAACUGAUGACAUUCCACCACAAAAGAAGUGUAAAUGGCUGGUCCUUGCCUUAAGUGAUGACAUUACCUUGUGAAAGUCCUUUUCCUGGCUCAUCCUGGCUCAAAAAGCACCCCCACUGAGCACCUUGCGACCGCCACUCCUGCCCGCCAGAGAACAAACCCCCAUUGACUAUAAUUUUCCUUUACCUACCCAAAUCCUAUAAAAUGGCCCCACCCUUAUCUCCCUUCGCUGACUCUCUUUUCGGACUCAGCCUGCCUGCACCCAGGUGAUUAACAGCUUUAUUGCUCACACAAAGCCUGUUUGGUGGUCUCUUCACACGGACGCGCAUUAAAAAAACAUCCUUACAUAAUAUGUUAAAGGAUGCUAUACAAUAUGGGGAAAAUGAUAUAAGUAUAUGACCCAAGAGGAUGAAAAAAUUCACUUAUUGGCAGAAAGGACAACAUCAUUUGUAUGUAGAAAAUCACCUCUCAAAAUAGUAAGUUGCUGAAAGGGGAGUGGUUGCGCUAGAAUCAGCACCAAUGACUCUUUUAUCCUAUUUCUCAGUUUUAGGGGAAAAGACUCUACAAAACUACAGGUGUUUUGCUGACAGUAGAAAAAAACCUUCCCUUGUUAACAUGUUAGUCAAGCUUUGGAAAAGACAUCACAUGUCAAAUCCUAUCACAGGAUGCUUUAUAGAGAUUAUCUAUUUUAAAUUUUAUUGGAAUUUCGAUGACAUCAAGUUGUUAUUGCUUGGACCACAGUGGUGGUGGUUAUCUGAAGAUUUCUGCAAAAGUGCCAUGCCUCCUCAAAUAAGGCAAGUCAUCUAAAAAAUAUCCCUUAUAUAUAUUUUUCAUUUCUUUCAUCAUGUUACAGAGAAUUUCAGUGGUAUUCUAAGACUCAGCCUCCCCAAGGAACCAAAUCAAGCUUUUAUGCAUCAGUGGAAACCAGAAAUUACUAACAGUAUACACAGUGGCAAUGGCCAGAGAUUACUCUUUCAUCUGGUUCAACCCCUAGAGACACAAGGUCUCAUCCUGUUCACACCCAAAUCCCCCUCCUUCCCCAAACACACAGCCUCCACAUGCAUUCUCUGACAAGCCUGAGUAAUAUUUCAUCAGUUCUCCCUAGCCACUCAGUCCAGGUUUUAAUAUAGCUGGAAUAUCUUGGGUAGCUUUAUCAAGAUGUAAACCUUAUAAUCAAGGCUUAGUUCAAAAUUUAAGUUUUUCCAGCUGUCAACUGACAUACAACUGUAUAAAAUCUGAAACUUUCCCUAUCAAAGUUCUCAAUGUUAAAAUCUCCCCCUAGUGGAUUUUCAGAGCAUGUGUUUUCACAAGUAAAACUGAAUAGAAUUUUCAAAAAAAAAAAAAAAAUGCUAAAAAUUUCAUAUGUGUGAAAAAUAAGACCUAUUAAUCUCAAAGUUCAGAGGGGAAAAAAUGCAAUUUCAUUUAAAAGCUUGCCAUCAAAAAAAUUCUAAAACUAAAGUAGAAUAGUUUUGGUUUACUCUAGUCUUAUGUGCAAGUGUGAAUAUUGAGUUUUACAAGUUUUUCUUGUGUGUCAUUAUCCUCUAUUAAGUUAAGGCAUUUUAAUGGACUAAACAUGGUAAUUUCUUACUUAAUUGUUUAGUGAAGAGAGGCAUAAUGUUUCAAUUAGGAAAGAAUGAUCCCCCACAUGAGUGAAUCUGCCAUCUGUGUAUUCUCAUCUGUUAAAACUGUUAGUCAAAUCAACAAAAGUCCAAGUGCAAAGUCCCUAAACCAGUUGAAAUGGGCACACACUUGCUCUAGGGAAGGGGAAAUUUUAUUUUAAUUGAUUUUGUUCCAGCAGCAAUCCCUCUUCCUUUCCUGGGAAUACAUUUUGGCUGGGAUUUUGUGGCAUCAAUACAAAUCACUUCAAAGCAGCUAUUGCUCAUUUAUCCUCUACCUAGCGGCUCUGCUGACCCACCACUUGGAUAUCCAUUUUCCUGAGGUGGGGCAAAGAUGAGGCAUGACAAGACCACAGGAAUGGUGUAGGAAAAAACUACAGAGAAAUACUCAUACAGAAGACAGCACAAAGCUGCCUGCAGUACUGAUCGUCACAUGUUUAGAACUGGGAAAUGGUGGUCAGUUGUUAACAGAAAAUGCAUUUUCUUUGGUACCAAAAUACCAAUGGCUCAUCAAUCUUAAUACUUUUAUAAUAACAUUUUUUAAGGUUAAAUUCUUUCAAAACAUGUCACUCCAAAUUUCUGAUGAGGUCUAGUUACUUUUAAAUAAUUAGGCAACAUGAAUAGAGGAGAAGACUGAGGCAAUUAUUGGAUUCAUUGAGGAAUGCAUAAAACAUAAAAAUGACUUAAAUUUGCUAUUUAUGUAAUUUCGUGGUCUCAAAACCACACUUUAAUUGAAUCGAGUUUAGUAAGAGAUAAGACCACAGCAGUGUGGCAUGAUGUUUAAGAACACAGGCCUUAGGGUAGAUUGUUAGAGUCAAAUUCGAGCUCUGACUGUGUGACUUUGAGCCAGUUAUUUAACCUCUCUGUGCCUUGGUUUCUUCAUCUGCAAAAUGAGAGUAGUAAAUAGAAGCUUCCUCAUAGUGUAGUUGGAAGGGUUAAAUAUGCUGAAACCGUAAAUGGAAAGUACUUAGUACACACAGAUCCCACAGCUUUUUUUGUUCACUUUCAGACAUUAACAGUCUUAUUUUCAGACAUUAUUUUAAAAAUCCUUUUUAAAUUGAAACUUUCAUUUCUCAUUGAACUUAAAUCUCUUUGUCCCUAUACCAGCUCCAGCAUGACCUAUGCUUGGAUCCUGUAGUAGGGAAGAGGGAAGCGGUUAAUUCUUUAUCAUGUCUUUGCAGUAUUUUUUUACUCUACCUCCCUCACCCCUUUCUCUGUCUUUGGUUCCUGCAGGGGAGAGGGAAAAUCAUUUGGGGACAGCCAACUUCUUCCUUGAGCGGUGCAGUUAUAAUCAUGCAUUGUGCCCUCUGUGAGUGCUUCUUUCUCCUUUGAAAUUCUUCAGUGGGUUCUUCAGCAUCGCCCACUCUGUUGCUGGAGACCACCCAUUGUGCCCUUGGAUGGCGUGCCCAAUAUCCUUGGCCAGCUGGCUGCAUUCCCCACUCAGCUACUGAUUGUUGAUUGUUGUGCUUCACGAACUUCCCGCUGAGCGUCCUCUCAUCCUGGGGUGGAGAGCAGGCCCAUCACGGGGCUCCCACCUGCCUGCCUGCCAUACUGUCCAUGCCAGUGCCUGAGAAACACCGCCUCUGCUCCACUUUCAGUGGGAACCAGCGUUUUGCACCCCCCUCCAUAGCCUUUUCUCUUCACUCUACCACCUGAAGCAAUUCCCACUGGGCCGCUUCUUCACCUUUAAGUUUUCCAGGUAAGAAUCAGACAUCAGUCUCUGUGUCUUGUCAAAUGUUCAGGGAUACUACCAAGCUCUUUAAGUGGUCUUAUAGAAGCCUCCACAGUUUACAGAUGGGGUAAGCACCCACUUUCCAUCUUUUGUGGGAAGAAAAAUGCACAGCACUCUGAGAACUGUCUCUAAGGAAUUAAUCACUAUCAACUUCCUUUCUACUCUCAUAUAUGGAGGUAGGCAAUGGGCUAAGGGGGUGGACUAGCACCUCUCUUUAGAAAGUGGAUACAUUUCCCAAUUGCAGUCAUCAGGUUGGGAGCCUGGGGCCUCACUGGAAAUUGAGACAAAAUAAAAGUUAAGUUCAACUUAGACUGUGCAUAUGUAACAUUCAAACAUUUGGGUUAUUUGAGUCAGUGAGUUCAGUGAUUAGUAUGAAUCCUUACCAUGUGGUAGACUAGAUUGACUUCAGUAUGACGUAGAUAGGUGUGAUUAAUAACUUAGAGUUAUUUUAGCUGAGGGUGUGUCAUGUACCAAAAACUGGUGAAUGGAACAUAGUUCACAGUGUUGGAAUUAUGGGACUCAACUGGAUAGGCAGGAGGAAAAAGAAAGGGUAAGUAUCAUACACAUAGAAACUGUCAGUAUUUUUUAGACUGCAGAAGUGAAUGUCAGACCUACUGUAUUAAGCUCUUAAGCAAGGGACAAAACUGGAUUUUUCAAGUCUGGGGCUAAUUCAAAAACAGUGUUACAUUGUAACCCAUACCUCAGAAAUUAUUUUAUAAUAGCUAAAUAUUUACAUAGUGCUUACUAUAUGCCAGACACUGUUUUAAACACUUUUAAUGUAUUUAAUCCUUUUAACAAUUUUACAAGAUAGAUGCACUGUUACUUCCUUUUACAAAUGAGGAAAAUGAAGCACAGAGGGAUCAAACAACCAGCACAAGGUUAAAGUCAUGGAAAAUAUGAGAUGUAAGCCCUGAUGUUUGGUAUUAGACUACACUUUGCUUUCACAAACAUUAUCUUGUGAUUUAUGUCACAAAUAAAUCACAUUAUAUAGCAAUGAUAAAGCAAUUCCAAAAGAUAGGCAUAUCAGACUCAAGCAUACUCAAUGAAUCACUUAGCUAUGGGAUGAUAGGGGCUGCCUAGAAAAUAAUAGACUGUUGUAGCUCCUGUUCCAGUUCCUUCUACCACCUUCUGACGGGUAUGUUUUGUUUGCCAUUUAACUUACAUCACAACAUGUUAAUUUCAAGAAUAAAUUUAUUAGUGUUUUUCUAAAAGUAAAAAUAAUUGAGGAGAAAAUAAAUCAGCAAAUGUUAUAUUAAAUAGAACAGACACUUACGGCCUGGAGUCUUUUCAUUUUUAAGGUAUAAAAAGCUUUUAUUGCUUUUAUCUUACUUAAAAAGCAAUGCGUGCUUAUGACUGAAGAAUUAGAAAAUCUCUGCAAAAGGGAGAAGAAAGCAUUCACAACCCAACUACCUGAUGAUAACCACUGUUAAUAUCUUAGUAACUGUCCUUUCAAGCCUAUGCAUAUAUAUGUUCAUUUAAUGUGUGUGUGUGUAUUUACAUCAUUAUUUAUAUAACAUUUUUAUUUUUGACUGGGGGAAGAGCAAAAUUUUAUUUUGGAAUGAAAAAGGCCAACGGGGUAGUCAGAAAAGAAUAAAGUGAGUGGUGUGGCAUCCUCUCUCCAUCUUCUUGGUGGCUUGGGUUAUACAUCUGUGCUUCAAGUUCUUCCAAAGGCCCAACUGUUUUGUUUGGUGUGCAUGUUUGCUUACCUUGAAAGUUAUCAAUCAAGCUCAGAGUCCGUUAAAUAAAAUAUAGCCUAUCAUCUAUCUUCAUUAUGACCUGGAAAGACAGAGUCCAAUUUAGACUCCUAGCCCUCUUCACAAGCUCUACCCUGGAACUUGCCCCCACCAGUAGCCUGUCCUACUUCAACUUCCAUUCCUGGCUUUGUCCUGCCCAGUGAAUAGGCUCAUGUACAUUAGGACAGAUACCUGAACCCCUAUGGCCAAGCUCAUUACUCAUCUGCCACAUCCUCUCCUAGUCACCUCUGAGCCUCUUCUUGGCCAUGUAUUUGGCUCACACUUCCCUGGAAGUGGGUUUGGAGCCUCUGGGCAGGGAGUCAUGGAGUCUAGAAGAUUGUGAUCUAGCGUAUGGGCUAGAUGUGGCUUGCGGGCUCAGACUGGGCACUUGUUGGCUGCAGGAACUCCUUCCCUUGCCGGGAAGGAUGUGGCUAGAAGCGGGAAAGAACAGGAUCUUCAUGUAUUCUCUAUAUGAGGUGCUGAUCAAAAUAAAUAAUUAUUUACACCUAGAGAUGUUCUCUAAAUUAUGACUGUAGAAAGUAGGUAAGUAAGUUAAAAUUGGGAAUGUGUAGCUUUAGCAUGCCAACACCUACAUCUGCAGAAUCCCCAUGGUUUAUGUGCGCUGUUGCCUUUGACUGGAACAACCUUCAUCAGACAUGUGCCCUUUUACUUUCACCUUAUUCAUAACUGCUCAAACAUCUUCUUUCCUUCCCUUUCCAUCUAAUCUAUACCAAGUGCACCCACCCCUCCAGCACUCUGUAUCCUCUCACCCCCACUUAUCUUCUUAGAACUUAUCACGAAAUGAAAUUACAGUACCUGUACUUGUUUACUGUCUUUCUGCCCUACUAGAAUUCCACAGAAAAUUAAUCUAAUUUGUCAUUAUAUCUAUUGUGCCUAGAACAGUGCCUGCCACCCAGUGGGCAUUCCCUAAGUAUUUGCUAAAUUACUAAGUUACAAUUAAAAACACACAUUACUCAUACAUAGUGGAAUUCUGAUAUUAAUUUCCACUUCCUUUUAACUAAGAAAUGGGGCAAAUAACUGGAAAUAAAUCUUUUCUACUGCAGUCUGAAUUUUACUUCCAUAAAAUAAAACACAUACAAAUAAUUUUUUAAAAUUAGGAUAUAAUAUCAGAAACCACUGCAUUGGCUAAUGGCAUAAGCAGCGAAAUCUUGGCUCAACCAAACAGUCAACAAAGAAGGAGUGUAGGCCAGGUGUCCCCACCUAGGCUAUGCUAUCUUCUUACUUCCUUCUUCUGGCAGGAAAGGAGAUGUCAGGCUGUAGGAAAGUAGUAGCACGGGCUACUUCCUCAAGGACUAAGUAAAGUAGCAUUCCAUGCUGUGGGCAAAAGGAGACAGGGGCAGGGCCAGGUGCUGGUGAGGAGAGGCAGUCCACUCUCAAGAGGGGACAGUGAGGUGAGGAUCCAGGACCUCUUUCCGGACCACUCCUGGUAGUUCUGAGUUCCAGUCUGACAGCUCACAGACACAGCCCCCCAUUUUGCCUCCAGCAGGAGAAGACAAGGAGAUGGAGAGACUGUCAACCUAGAACCAGUAAUGACCAGUUCCAACUUAAUUACAGAAAGGGAGAAAAGAUCAAUCAUUUAAGUUGCUUCAUCGUCUAAAUAAAAGUGUUUUGGCUGUUGAAACAUGAACCUAGACUCCUGCCUCAACAUAUUUAAAAUGAGAACAAAGUGGCAGUAUCAUGGUGGUGGGCGUUUAGAUGCUUACAUUGUUUUCAUCUACAAAACAGGCUUUCCUUUCACACCCUAGCUCUUUGCUGGGCUGGUGGAGCUGAUUGACAGAUAUAGCCCGCUCCAAAGGAACAGCCCUUUCUCAAGGAAUGAAUGAUUUGCUCUAAGUAUUUAAAUCCUCUGCUCAAAAUCAAACAUAAAUUGAAGUAUCAAAAUAAACAAAAAUAUGGUUUGUGGUUUUGAAAGCAUUUCUUUGUGAUUUUUGCUAAAAAGAGAAAUGCCAAAAAAAUUUUUUUAAAGAUUUUGAGACAAUUAUCUGGCGCAGUGGCUCACGCCUGUAAUCCCAGCACUUUGGGAGGCUGAGGCAGGCAGAUCAUGAGGUCAGGAGAUCAAGACCAUCCUGGCCAACAUGUUGAAACCCCAUCUCUACUAAAAAUAUAAAAAUUAGCUGGGCAUGAUGGGCGCCUGUAAUCCCAGCUACUCAGGAGGCAGAGGCAAGAUAAUCACUUGAAUCCAGGAGGUGGGGGUUGCAAUGAGCCAAGAUCAUGCCACUGCACUCCAACCUGGGC